This 30248-nucleotide long non-coding RNA is filed under the name Durio zibethinus. RNAcentral's name for it is "long non-coding RNA (DZIB_LNC000835)". The record is from RNAcentral. Lineage: Eukaryota; Viridiplantae; Streptophyta; Magnoliopsida; Malvales; Malvaceae.
AUGCUUGUGAGACCAUACAUGACAAUAAAUAUGGUGGCAUCUGACAACCGCUUGAAGCAGAAAUAAAGACCAGCUGGGAAAAGGAAAAGUAGGAUGUGGAAAUCAAACAUGAAAGAUGACCAAGCUGUUGGUUGAUGCUCAGAGACAGAUGCAAUAAUGGGGAUAUGAUCCUUGGCAUAGGUUGGAUCCAGCAAAGAGUAAAAUCUUCCUGUCCAAGGUGAAAUAUAGCCAGAUAAUGUGCCUACUCCCAAAGCGAUAGCUCCCACAGUAACUGCACAGGUCACAGUGAUCCUCAAAAAAGCUUGAAACAAUUUUGUGUCACUAAGCAUGUGCUUCACCCAAUCUAAAAAGUAGAUAACCUGCACAAGUAGCCCAAAUAUGCUUAAUGCAACUUUCUAUUACCAGCUCAGUACCGGAACAAAUAGAUUCACUAAAACAAGUUUCCACAAGCCAAUUUCAUUUUAUAAUUAUACAAACGAAAGUAGUUUUUUCUGCUUUGCAGUGAUUUUUGUAUAACAACAAGCAGAAAUACACAGAACACAUACCAAGCCGAAAUAUCCCAAUCAAAUACAAUUUCCAAGAUAACAUGAAAAACCAAAGUUACCUUCUACUGUUACCUGAAAAUAUUUCAUAGACAAAAAAGUUCUAUUCCGACUAAAAUAGACCAAACUAUAUAUGGCAAAAAUUCUGUUUAUUCAGUUUAUGCUUUUGCUUAUAUAAACAAGCACAAAUAUGCCCCCCACCCCACCAAAUUUCAAGCACCAAUAGAUUAGACUACUAUAAUACUACCACAAGUUCAUUACAUUAGACUUAAAAAAAAAAAAAAAAAAAAAAAAAAAAAAAAAAAAAACCAGCUUGAAAGAAAGUUCAAAACCUGCAUCAAGAAGAAGACACCCAUGGCGGCCAUAUGUUCACCAGAUUGUACAUGUUGAAACCCAACAAACCGAAUCUGCAUUGCGAGCAACAUUCCCAAAAUAUACAUGCAAUUAUAGGCAACAUACAACCUCAUUGAAUACCUCCCAGUAAUCAAAAGCACCAGCACAUAAAGUGGGAUCAAGUUAAUAAUAAAAACAUAUCCUCCCCAAGCCGAAACCAUGUAAAAAUAACCAAACGCCGAAGCCAAACCCCAAGCCAAUGAUCCCGUAUUAACGGCUUUCACAAAUAAAUAAAACGUGAAAAGUAAUGCGAAAAUAGCAACUCCUUCAUUAUCAUAAGAACCGGCCACGGACCUGGAUAUGUAACCAGGACAAAUGGCAAUUAAAGUUGCAGCAACAAGGCCAGCCCCUGAAUCCCAAAUCUCUUUACCGAAGAAAUAAGCAACAAGGGUCGUAUUUGAAGCGAAAAACGGAGCUGUUAAAACGCAGACUUCACGGAUAUGGACGGCGAAACGGAGGAAAUGGAGCAGGCGAUAAAUGAGGACGGCGGUUACCAUAAGGCCAGGGUAAAGGGUUCCACCGAUGAUUCUGCCCAAAGGGUACCAGCUUUCAUAGUCGAACCAGUUCCAGAAAUCGUAAAAGCCGUUUUGGGUAAGGUAAAGAGUGGUACGGUAGUUGAAGUAAGGGUCGAAUUCAUGGAUCAUGGAUUCAUAGCGGAGGACGGAGAAGAGACGCGUAACGAAGGCUAAGAUAUAGACAAGACAGAGAAUUGAAACACGGAUCAGGAGUUCUUGUUGCUUUGUUUUGAGUUUGAAGGGCUUCAGUAGAUCUGAUGCUGGGGUGCUCGACAUGGUGGGUUGCUGCAGAUUUGGGGUUUGGUUUGGUUUUUAAUAAAAUAUCAUGUUAAGGCAAAUUGAGAGUGAAAUUGUAAGGUUUGAGAAAAGGAAGGGAGUGUUGAGAAUCGAGAACUCAAAACCCUGGAUAAGCACUGGGAUUUUCAGUGAUCUAUUUUAGUCUUUGUUGCAGUCCACGGUUGUGAGUUAUGAUUCAAGUCAAAAGUGUCUUCGUUUGUUUUCGUCAAAUUUUUCUGGGCCAUGAACUGGGCUUAUAUGGUUCUUCCAAUUUUUGGUCUUUUCAUGUUUGCUUGAGCUUUCUACUUUGUUUGGGACCAAAAUCUUUCCCAAUUUAGUGUAGAUUUUUUUUUACCUGCUUAAGUUCAUUUGAAUGGGUAAUAAAAUUAAAAAUAUUAAUAAAAAUUAUUAUAAUUAUAAUUUUAAAAAAUUAAUGUAAUUGCAAUUAAAAAAAUUUAAUGAAAAUUUAUACUGAAUUCAAUUAAAUAUAUGAUAAAUUUAAUUACAUUGUAUUAAAAGUACGAUGAUAUCCAAAUUGAAACUUAAUCAAUUUCAAUUAUGCUGAUUAGUCAUAAAUUGAUUUUUUCACUAAAAAUUCAAAAAAAAAAAAUCAAAUCUAGAUUGAGAGAUAUUAAGUGUAUGUUUGAUUUAUAAAAAUAAAGUUAUUUUUAUUUUUAUUUUUUUAGAAAAUAAAAAAUGAAUGAAAAAUUUUGUUUGGUUGAAAAUAUUAAAAAUAUUUUUAAAAAAAUAAAAUUGAAAUCAGCUAAAUUUUUUUUUAAAAUUUUUCAUCGUUGUCAAUGAUAAGAGUUGGGGAGAAAUGAAAAAAAAUAAAACAAAACAAACAAAAACAAAAAGUUUUAAAAAAUUUUUAAUCUAUGUUACAAAUCAUCAAAACAAUUUCGAAUAGCCAAACUUGCAAAAAUAUUUUUUUUUAUUUUUUAUUUUUCGGAUAAUCAACUGAAGCAAUUUUAAAGCAUUUUUUUCCUUCUAGAUCUAAAUUUCAUUCACUCCGUUUCUUCAUAAAAACAUCAAAACUAUAGUCAGACAAUCAGAGAUGAGUAGUCUAAAAAUCAAAGGUAUAAUUUGAUUCAAACUUACAUUCAGUUUUGGUGUUUAGUAUUAUGAUUUAUAGAGUUCGAUUGGGAAAAGAUUGGGUUUUCCCUUGUUUUAUUUUCGUAAGCACUUAUUUGUGUUGAUUUAAUUGUUUAUCUUAACGGUGAUGAAUCUUAUUCUUUUAUAAUAGAUUUGGUUCUUUUUAGGUAUGCCCAGAAGGUGUUUGUUAUUUGAUCACUUUGAAUACUCGAGAACCAAAAGAAGUGGCAAAAGAAGCAACGGAAAGGUGUUGACCAAGUGCUCAUUUGGAUUUUAUCACAUUUUUUGUGUGAUAUAAUUAAACUUACUGCAUUAUUAAUUAAAUUUCAAUGUUAAUUUCAAUAAAAUCAAUUCAAUAUAAAUUUUUUAUUAAAUUUUUUAAUCAUAAUUACAAUAAUUUUUUUCAAUAAUAAUUAUUAUAAUUUUUAUUAUUAUAUUUAAUAUCAUCAUAAUCAAUUUCAUCGUUUAUUCAAAUAGUACCCAAAGAGAAUGACUAGAUUUGAGAAGACAACGCAAGCCACGAUCGAGGAGUAAGACUUUAUUUUGGCGGGUUUUGUUUGGCUUUUGAUGUUGGGAAGGAAUAAUCGAGCUGGGGUCUGAGCGUGGGUAAAAUUUUAGUAAGAGUGAAAUUUUAAUUGAAAAAAAAGAAGCAAAGAAAUAGAAGAUUGAAGGGACCAAGCAAAAAAACAAAGUUUAGAGGUGAUAUUAUUUGUUCUUAAUGAAGUACAUUUGAUUAAAUUUUUUAUUAACAAUAUGAAUUAUUGUCUUAAUUUUUAUUUGAACUCUUAUUUUUAUUUUAACUACAUUUUACUUUUACUAUUUUAGCAACAUUGUACUUUUUAUCAAGAAAUUAUAUUUUACUUUAAUCAUUUAAUAACUAUUUUUAUUUCUUCUAUUUUGAAAAAUAUAGAUACCAAAUAUGUUUUCAUUAUUUUUAUUUUUGAAAGUAUAUGUUCAUUUUCAUUUAUUAAAUAUGUUUUUUAAAAUAAAAAAAUAAAAAUUAUUUUUAAAAAUGAAAAUUAAAAAAAAAAAGCAAAAAACAAUUCCACACCAAAGGAAACCUAAAUUUUUAUGCUAAAGGCAAUUAUCCCCAACACUCACCCUUCAGUCGUCCGGAAUCAAGAUAUGAAUUAAAGUCAUUUUAUUUUUCAAGCUCAAAGCUUACCAAAAAUUAAAGAUUGUCUUGAUUUCACAUGUAAAAAAAAAAGAAAAAAAUGGGUAGAACUAUUUAUACCCCCCAAAACUCUCAAUACACCUCAUAAAAUUAAUCAAAUAAAAAAUUACUUAAAUACUCAUUAGUUAAUUAUUUUUUAUCUUUUACACCCAUUUUAGUAAACUAUCAAAAAUAAAUAUUUGAAAACUUUUUAAAAUAUCAAAACUGCAUUUCAAGAAAUUUCUUAAUUAUACUUAAAUUUUAUUUUUUGAAAAGUAUUGCAAUUAUUCAAAAAUUUAUUUUUGAAAAGCAUCACAAUUAUCAAGAAGUAUAUUUUCAAAAAUAAUUUUUUAUUUUAAAUUUUUUGUUGUGAUCUCUAAAUGGGUCUGUAAUGAUUUCUCCAAUGUAUGCAAUAUUUAAUUUUAGAAGUAAAAAUCUUUAAUCAUUCAGUCAAGCACUGUCCGUUUAAUAAUAUUCAAAAUAUUUAUCAAAUUUAACAAACAUGCAUUUGAAAGGAAUCACUUAGUGUGAAAAGAGCUUAUAUAAGUGGUUACUACAUUAUAUGCAAUGAGACAAUCACAAUUCAUCACACAUGGUACAGUAGCUAAUUUACAUGAGCGUAUUUUCACACUAAGCAAUUCCUCUCAUAUGCACGUCUACCAAAAUUGUAAAAUGUUACAAAUGUCAUUGAACGUACAAUGUCUAGUGUCAUAAUAGUUUUACAAAGGACCAUUAGAUGAAUUUAAAAACAAAUGGAGUUACCACUAAUCUUUUUUUUUAUUAGGUGUGAUUGGUUAUUUAAAAAAUUUUAAUUUUUAAUAAAAAUUUAAAAUUAAUUAAAAUAUAUUAAAAAGAUAAUAUUUUUAUUUACGAAAAUCAAAUUCGGGUUCGAUAGUGCAAUUAGCGUAGAAAAGAAUUUACAUCCCUACAAUGCCUGUUAGAAAAUAUACUAAUUAAUUAUGUGUUAUUCCUUAAUUUUGAUGAAAAUGAUCUUGAAUUUGGUAUUUAAAAAACAAUUUCUUGAACUUUAUUUAUUGUAAUAAUUUUAAUUUUUUAUUAUUUUAUUUUAUUUGAUAAAAAUAAGCUAGAACCUUGUUAUUGAAGAACUCUUAAAUGUCACAAUACAUUGUAACAUUGAAAAAAAUUUUUCACCUAGAGAUUUUUUAAGCAUCACUAUUCGGAUUACUUUAAAAUUUAUCCUCAAAAGCUUGUAUUUAUUUUUUAAAAAAUUAAGUGACAAGCAUGCAAUUGAAAUAGUGAAAUAUUGGUGUACAUAUUUUAUUUAUUCAUUAUUUUAGAAAAAUUGUUUUUUCCCCCAUUUUAUUUUCAUUUUCAUUAUUAUUAUUAUUAUUAUUAUUAUUAUUAGAAGAAGAAGAAGAAAAGAAAAAAUUUUAUUGUAUUGAAAAUUUUUUAUAAACACUCAAAUACAUUGGUAGUAUUUAUAAAAAAAAAAUCUUCUCAUCUAAAGAUUUUUUAGGUAUCAUUACUCAAAUUAAUUUAUAAUCUCAUCAUUAGAUAAAAAUUUUAUUUCCCUCAUUUUUUGUUAUUUUUAUUUUAUUUAUUUAUUUAUUAAAAUUUUUUUAUAUAUUAUGUUUUAAAUAAAUAAUGAAAAAUCUUUUUAUUUUGAAAUAUGUUUCUAAAUAUGUUAGUACUUUGAAUAGCAUUUUAGAAAAAUAUUCUCACAUAGAGAUUUCUAAAUAAUUAUUACACAUAAUUCUUUAAUAUCUCAUCAUCCAAAUUUUUUGUUUUUUUCUUCUUUUUUUUCUUUUUUAAAUAAUCAAAUUUUGCAAAUAAUGGUAUUCAUGCAUUAAUUGUAGAUAAUUUUAUUACUAAACAUUUUUUCUUUUAUCAUUUAUUUAUUUAUUUUUAUUUUGUGAAAAUUUUUUGUAUUGAAUAUUUUUCCAAAUACUCGCACUUUUACUAGUAUUUUUAGAAAAAUAUCCCUCAUCUAGAAAAAUCAUUACUCGGACUUCCUUAAUGUUCAUCUUGGAGAUUUUUAAUUUUUAUUUUAUAUUGUUUAGUUUUAUUCUUAUUAUAUUUUUAUAUUUUUACCUAUAUUUUUUAAAUUUAUUAAUGUUUUUCAAAACCAAUUUUCUUAUUUCUAAAAAUUUAAUUCAAGAAAUUUAGGACAUAAAUAUACAUUAAAUAAUAAUUUAAAUAAAUUAAAAUUUUAAAAAAUGAGAAAAAUUAAGAAAAUUACCCAAAAAGAUUGGUCGAAGCUUAGUCAACGGUUUAGAAAUGAUUUGGUCCAGUUCAAGAGUGGUUCAUCAGGCCUGUUCAAAUGCUGAAUGAAAUCAACUAAUUUAGCUAUGGUUUGAUUCGAUUCGUGGGCAAUUUAGGGUAGUUUACUCAAUCCAAUAGCAGCUCAAUUGGAUCGGUCUUGGUCUUGAAUUAAUACAGGUAAGUUUGAUCUACUUUUUUUUUAGGUUAUAAAAUUUACUUUUUUUUCUUAAUCCAUUUUCAUCUUUUUUCUUAAAAAAAAAAAAUUUAUUCUUCCUUAAUAAAACACAAGCAGCCCCCUUCAAAGAAAUCCAAACUUAGAUUUCAGUAGCUUUACCACCACUCUUCCUUCAUCGACCAUCGCUCGUCAAUACUGGUUAGCUCUCAAAUUUCACCUAAAUGAAACUCUCUACCCCUUUUUUCAUGUUCUCUAAUAAGAUUUCUUGAAAGCUUGCUAGAUCCUCCUAAAUCUAACAUCAAGUUUGAGACCUCAAGUUUUCAAAUGUCUUAUCUUGUUGUCCAAUUUGGCCUAAACCGAGAUAUGUUCUUUUCCCUUCUUUAGUCUCCUUUUCCACCAUAUGGAUCUUUCAAAAUAUCCAUGUAUAUUGCCAAACUCAAAACCUAAGUGAAAGAAAGUUUCACUUUAUUUUUGAAAGCCAACUAAAACCUAAACUUUUCUCUCUUUUUUGGGUUGUUCUUUGUGUUUGAAGAAUUUUUUUAUGAUAUUUAUUAUGGCACUACUUCUCUUUAUCCUAGGGGAUUUUUUUUUUAUAUUGACAAUAAUGGUUUUUGGAGAGGUCAAAUAAAUGUGUGUAUAUGUGUGUGUGUGUGUUUUUUUUUGUGGAUUUCUUAGUUUCAAUUGGGGUGGUUUUGAGGUAGGCAAUGGGCUAUUGUGUAGGAAGUUUUAAUUAUAGUUGAUAAGGGCCAUCGGUGGUGGUUGUAUUAUGGUAGGGAUGGUCUUAGUUGGGUUUAAAGGUUGGUGUUAACGGGAGCAAAGGGCUGGAUACAUAUAGAGACUGGAUUAGUGCAAUUGUGAGUGUGUUUUAGGCAUAGCUUAGGUUUAGUUGUAUCGUUGGCAAAAGCUUGAUUGUGGCAUUGCUGGUUGGAAUUUUGUUUAGGUAAUUUGACUAUUGAUGGUUUUCAAAUGAAAUUGUUUGAAGCUUUUUGGGUAUGAUUCAGAGAGAAUGGAGAUGAUAGCUUUUUUUUUUUUUUAGGAUGGUGUUAAUUAUAGGAUUUUUGCAAUGGUUUGAGAAAAACUAUGGAAAGGUUAAGAAAAAAAUUGUUUGGGUUUGGCAAUGGAAAAGGUUUUUUUUUUUUUUUGCCAAGUCUUUUCUACCUUCUAUAAUUUUUUAUGGUGUUUCCCCUUUAAUCAUGAGUUCUUCUUUUUAAGAUGUUGUCUGUGAUUGGGUGUUUUGAUAUGUUGUUAGCUUAGGGUAGGAGCCGCUGCUUUUAGAGUAGUAGUCCUUGUUGACUUUUGGGACAAUGAAUCUUUUACUAAUCCAUGCUAGCAGAUAGUAGGAAAAAGGAUGGUGAAAACUAAAAAGUUGGGAAAAACAAAGAAUACAAUAGGCAAAAGGAUAAUGAAAGCCAAAGAGUUGGGAAAAGCAAAAAAGGAAAAGGAAAGGUUGUUUGGCCAACCCUAUCAUUUUAAUUUUUUGAUUUUUGAUUUGAUUUUUUUGAAAAUUUUUAAUUACUUAAAGUAGUAAAACAAAAAAUUAGACCUUAAAAUCAAAUUAAUUCUCAAAACAAUGAGAAUUGGGCCUUAAAAUCAAAUAUCAAAUUUUAGACUUCCAUUAGACUUUCAAACCCAAAUGACUUGAAUUGGGCUUUCACUAUUAGAUUUGGGCUUUGAAGCUUAGAUGAUCUAAUUUCAAAUUAAUCAAAUUAAAUUGAUUAGACCUUGGCCCACACAAAAAUGAUCUAAAAAUGAGUAAUCCAAAUCAAAAUCAAAAUGAGUCCGAUUAAAAUGCUUAAACUAGCUCAAAUCAAAAUAUUUGAAUCAAGUAUAGAAUUGAACUCAAAUUGAUCUAGACAAAGUUUGAUGUCUACACCUGGUGGCUAAAAGAUUAGAGAUCCGUGUUGGAGAAUUUGUCAGUCUACUAAUGCCACAAUAAGGUCAAUUUUUGUGUACUGAAAAGUUAUUUGAUCUUUAUUGGUGGCCAAAGGCUAUUGUGCAACAAAAAUUCAUUUUCGAGAGUUUUUUAAGGAUUUCAAAAAUAAAUAUUCCGAAAAACCAUUAAGAAAAUUUGAAAAUACACUUCCAAAAAUUCUCAAAGGUUUCUGGAAUUGGAUUUUUGAAAAGGGAUUCUGGAAAUGAAUAUCCAGCCUGUUGAAAAAGUUUUUGGACAUCCAUUUCAAAAAACCUUUAACUCAUUUCAAAAUUUAUUUCUAGAAGGCUUGAAUCACCGCCUUAAAUCAUACCCCUAAAUUAAAAUCCUAAAUCUUUAGAAACUAAACACAAAAUCAAANNNNNNNNNNNNNNNNNNNNNNNNNNNNNNNNNNNNNNNNNNNNNNNNNNNNNNNNNNNNNNNNNNNNNNNNNNNNNNNNNNNNNNNNNNNNNNNNNNNNNNNNNNNNNNNNNNNNNNNNNNNNNNNNNNNNNNNNNNNNNNNNNNNNNNNNNNNNNNNNNNNNNNNNNNNNNNNNNNNNNNNNNNNNNNNNNNNNNNNNNNNNNNNNNNNNNNNNNNNNNNNNNNNNNNNNNNNNNNNNNNNNNNNNNNNNNNNNNNNNNNNNNNNNNNNNNNNNNNNNNNNNNNNNNNNNNNNNNNNNNNNNNNNNNNNNNNNNNNNNNNNNNNNNNNNNNNNNNNNNNNNNNNNNNNNNNNNNNNNNNNNNNNNNNNNNNNNNNNNNNNNNNNNNNNNNNNNNNNNNNNNNNNNNNNNNNNNNNNNNNNNNNNNNNNNNNNNNNNNNNNNNNNNNNNNNNNNNNNNNNNNNNNNNNNNNNNNNNNNNNNNNNNNNNNNNNNNNNNNNNNNNNNNNNNNNNNNNNNNNNNNNNNNNNNNNNNNNNNNNNNNNNNNNNNNNNNNNNNNNNNNNNNNNNNNNNNNNNNNNNNNNNNNNNNNNNNNNNNNNNNNNNNNNNNNNNNNNNNNNNNNNNNNNNNNNNNNNNNNNNNNNNNNNNNNNNNNNNNNNNNNNNNNNNNNNNNNNNNNNNNNNNNNNNNNNNNNNNNNNNNNNNNNNNNNNNNNNNNNNNNNNNNNNNNNNNNNNNNNNNNNNNNNNNNNNNNNNNNNNNNNNNNNNNNNNNNNNNNNNNNNNNNNNNNNNNNNNNNNNNNNNNNNNNNNNNNNNNNNNNNNNNNNNNNNNNNNNNNNNNNNNNNNNNNNNNNNNNNNNNNNNNNNNNNNNNNNNNNNNNNNNNNNNNNNNNNNNNNNNNNNNNNNNNNNNNNNNNNNNNNNNNNNNNNNNNNNNNNNNNNNNNNNNNNNNNNNNNNNNNNNNNNNNNNNNNNNNNNNNNNNNNNNNNNNNNNNNNNNNGAUCAAAAUUGCUAAAUUUAAAAAUAUUAUUUUGAUUCAUAAAUUUAAUUUCAAAUAAAUCAUAGAUUUAAUUUUGAUGUAAAAAUUUAAAAAAAUGUAAAAAUUAUAUUAUUAGAGUAAGUAAAUUCUUUCUCACGAUUCUAUGUAUAUACAUUAAAAAUAAAAAAAAAUCACUUAAAUAAAAUAUUUUUUCCAAAGCAAUUGCAAAUGGUUUAAAUGGACCGAAAUAUAAGUUUGAAGUCUGUGUGUAUCUGAGUGUAUCAUCCGGCAAGUAAUUGGAGUGUUGAAGGAGAAUCGGAGCUUUGCAUUGGUUUGGUGAAUAUGAUGAUGAUGAGUUUUUGGAGAAUCGCUUCUCUUCCGUCUUCUUCUGCCAUUGAUCUUCUUCAACGUUUGGAAUUGAGUAACCCCAAAUCUGUCAAUUCUCUUCCCUUCUCUUUGUUGAAUUGUUUUUCUGCUUUAAAUAAGGAAAGCCCUCUCUUCUAUUCUCAAAAAUCUUACUUCUUUACCACCCCCUGCAGGAAAUCCAAGUAUGUGUUUGAUAAAAUUGAUGAUGCCUUGGCUUUGUUCGAUCACAUGCUUCAUGCCCAUCCUAUCCUUUGUAUUGUUGAAUUUAGUAAAUUAUUAUCAGCCAUUGUUAGAAUGAAGCAUUAUGAAAUUGCUAUUUCUCUGUUGAGACCAAUGGAAUUACUAGGAAUUCAUUACAAUGUAUAUACUCUCAGCAUCUUGGUUAAUUGUUUUUGCCGCUUGCAUCGUAUGGAUUUUGGGUUCUCUGUUUUGGGGAAAAUGUUGAAGCUGGGCAUUGAACCUAAUGGUUUAACAUUUUCUACUUUGAUCAAUGGCCUCUGCGUUGGAGGUAAAGUAGCUCAAGUUGUGAGGUUGUUUGAUGAUGUUGUCGUUCGGGAAGGGUAUCAGCCUUAUUUAAUUACUUAUAAUAUGAUAGUGAACGGCCUUUGUAAAAUAGGAGAAACUACUCGUGCUAUUAGAUUGCUAAGGACUAUGGGAUAAAGAGAUUGCGCACCAGACACUAUAACAUACACCACCUUAAUCAAAAGCCUUUGUAAGGACAAGAAUGUAACUGAGGCUUUGAGGCUUUUCUCUGAAAUGAGAGGUAAAGGAACUCCACCUGAUGUUGUCACUUAUAAUUCUUUAAGUCAUGCCAUGUGUAAUUCAUGUCAGUGGAAGGAAGCUACAGCAUUAUUCAAAGAAAUGGUGGCUAGCAAUUGCAAACCCGUGUGAUCACAUAUGGUAUUGUGGUUGAUUCACUUUGUAAAGAGGGUAGAGUUUUAGAGGCAAAAGAUAUGCUUGAGAGAAUGAUUCAACAAGGUAUUGAGCCUGAUAUAGUUAGGUAUAAUUCAUUGAUGGAUGGAUAUUGUUUACGAGGUGAAAUGGAUGAGGCUAGAAAAGUAUUCAAUUCAAUAACUUACAAGGUUGCAAACCUAGUGUAGUUAGUUACAGUAUCAUUAUUAAUGGAUAUUGUAAGGCUAAAAGGAUAGAUGAGGCACUGGAGCUCAAAAUGGAUUAAUCCCUGAUGUUGUUACUUGUGGCACUCUUAUAGGUGGCAUGUCACAUAUUGGGAGACUUAUAGUUGCACAAGAAAUUUUUGAAGAAAUGUGUGCUUAUGGCCUAGUACCAAACGCGAUAACUUACUCUUCUUUGUUGGAUGGCUUAUGUAAGCAUGGACAUAUUCAUGAGGCGUUGGGAUUUUUUCAUGCAAUGCAGAGCUGUGGGUUAGAACCUGAUAUUGUCCACUAUAAUAUCCUAAGAUGGCUUGUGUCUAGUUGGGCAACUUAAAGUUGCUAGGAAAUUAUUUUAUGCACUCACAGUCAAAGGGGUACACCCUAAUAUUUACACAUAUAGCACAAUGAUCAAACACCCUAAUAUUUACACAUAUAGCACAAUGAUCAAAGGACUUUGUAAAGAAGGGCUGCUGAAUGAAACAUAUGAAUUGUUUAGGAAAAUGGAAGUGGAUGGUUGCAUGGGAAAUAGUUGCUCUUACAAUACCAUGAUCCAAGGAUGUCUUCACAACAACAACAUAUCGAGGGCAACACAAAUUCUUCAUGAAAUGAUUAAGAAAGGAUUUUCUGCAAAUGUAUCCACAGCAGCCAUGAUAGUGGGUCUAUCGUCUAGUGAUUCAACUGGUGAAUCUUUUUGUGCCCUAGUUCGGAAAUUGUGAAGGCUAUCAAAGUGUUAAUAUGGAAUGACUCUUCUCAAUUAACAUUGCUGCAGUAAAUCUAGACAUGAUUUAUAAUGUGUACCUGCUAGUAAAUAUUCUAUUUAGUCCCUAAUUCCAUCCUAUUACCUCAAGGAAAAAGACAUUAUUUUACUCCUUCAUUAGGCUUUAUGCUGCCUGCUGGUACUCUAUUUAAUUGAGGAAGAAGGCUGGUCUGGCCUUUUGCAGCCAGUAGGUACUAUUUCUUUUUUUUUUUUUAACCAGGGUUGAGCUGUGUUAAAUGGUUUUCCCUUCAUUCUAGCUUUAAUAACCUUAUGUAGGUAUGACAUUCUUCUUUCCAGAAUAAUUGCAGAUGCUCCUUCAUUCCUCUUUAUAAUCAUACUGCCUUGAAAGCAGUCCAGGCACCUGAAAGAAAGAUAACUUCAUCUUUUUAUGCUUUUGAUAGUUUUAUAUUUGCUCUUUUUGACUUCAAGUUAAAGCAGUAUGGUCAUGCUUAAUUAUAGACGUUGAUUCUACGAACAUGGAGUCAAUAGCAUAGUAAGAUCAUAGCCCACUCAUACCUUUUCUUUUUCCCCUUUUUUCGUAUGCAAAUGCAUGUAUUCAUGUAUAUAUAUUUAAAAGCUCAUUUUAUCGUGUUGGCUCAAGCUUGUGAGGCAAUGCUAUGAAACGUUUCCAAAUUAAGUGCACAAUUUAUUUCUUGCAGGAGUCAGCCAUACAAGUUUGCAAAAAAAUUGGUGAUAAAUUUGAUUCAAAUUAAUUAUUAUUGUAUGAGAAGGAUAAUCUUUAGGUUGGUUAAAAGAAUUAGAUAAUCAUUCAAAAAAGAAGAGAAAAUUAUGUACUAAUUCUACUAGUCUAUAUUUCCUUAUUUUGUUUUCUGAUGCCUUAAUGAUAGUGCUUUCAACUUGGAAGGCAUAAAGGCAGAACUAUUUGUCUGUAGGAUGCCCUGUAUUGCACUUUUUAGUUUCCUACUUGAUUAUGAUAAGCAUGUGAAGGAAUUGAAAUUUGAAGACCAAAUAAGUAGUGGUAAGAAAACACCAAUACAAAUUGAUGUCAUCGUAGGCUAAUAAACAGCAUAUUUAGAAAUUUUGGCUUUGUCUUGGGAAUCAACUGUUAAGGGAAAGGAGAAAAGAUAUAUAUAUAUAUAUAUACAUACAUAUAUUUUUUUUUACCUUCGGAUCAAAAUUAAAUUGAUAACACUUACACUUAAUCAUUUUGAUCCAAGGGUCAAAAAUAUGUGUAACUCUUACAAGUCUUACAUUAGUGUAAGUGGAUCCCUUCUCAACUCUUACAUACAUGCAUUUCAAAAUUCUUAUGCGCAUAAAAAAAAAAAAAAGGACAUAUACAGAACUCUUUGGGUUGGUCCCAAAUAGUCUUCGAUUAAGAUACUUACAAUUAUAAAGUUGUGCACAUGUUGUUUUCUUGCUCCUCUGAUAAAAUAAAAAUCAUCCAUUCAUCAUUAAUUGGAUGUUAUGAUGUGGGAGAUUUUGGUUUGUGCCUGUGCAAUGUAUAGAAUUGCCAACUAAAGUAUAUUAUAGAAUUGAAAUAUCGAUACUUAAAACGACUUUGUGCUGGUAACAGAAAGUUGCAUUAAGCAUAUUUGGGCUACUUGCGCUGGUUUUCUACUUUCAGAUUGGAUGAAGCACAUGCUUAGAGUAUCAAGCUUUUUUGAGAUCACUGUAAACCAUGCAGUUUCUGUGAGAGAUAUUACGUUGGGAGUUGGCUCGGUAUCAGGCUGAAUUUCACCUUGGACUGGAAGGUUUUACUCUUUGUUUGGAUCCAAUCUAUGUCGAGGAUCACAUCCCUAUUAUUGCAUCUGUCUCUGAGCAUCAGCCAAGAGCCUGAUCAUCUUUCAUGUUUGAUUUCCACAUCCCACUUUCGCUUUUCCCAGCUGGUCUUUUUUUCUGCUUCAAGAAGUUAUCAGAUGCCACUAUAUUUAUCGUGAUAUAUGGUCUCGAAAGCACGUAUUUAACUGGUGUCAUGGGUCAAUUGAUUCUUAUUGCUAGACCAGCAGUUUGCCUUACCAGUGCUGUUGCUGUUUCUGCCACUGUGAAGAAUUUGACUGUGCUGUUGAGGUUAAAGAACAAAGAAGUCCAGACUGGAUCCACUAAAGGAACUAGCAGUGCAAAGGCCUCUGCCUCUUCUAAGGUGACCCCUCUCUGGCCAUUCUCUCCCCAACAUGAGCAGAAAAAGGAAUAAGAAAUCAUAUUUGUUUUGAGUGCAUAUGAGUGGAUUUCUCCGCACUAGCAAUUUUGAAAUUUGUUUUGUUUAACCUUAGCCGGUUUCUCCCAAUAUUUGCACAAUAGUCAAUGCAUGCAGUCACCAUAAUCUUCUAGUAUAAACUCUCCGCCCAUUCCCUUUCUUCUGCCUGAACUAUGUAAAUUGUGUCAUUGUUGUAUUCUAAUUUCAUUUCAAUGUGAAAUAGGUUUUCGUGGAUCGAAAACCCUCAUCUGCUGCUUUCCAUCUGCUCUUUUAUUGUCAUCCAGCUAUUUGGAAUAAAAGGCAGCUGUUUCCUCUGCUUUCCGGCUCACAUUGUUCUUAAACUGUAAAUUAAAAAUGUCACAUUUUUAAUUUUCAAAUCUAAACAUUGAUUUUUUUUAUUUAAAUUUAAAAUAUAAAUUUAUUUAUGUGUUAUUCUAUGUGUCCAUACAAGUGUUAAUUAAUCGCUUUUUCAAAUAUAAAAAGUGAUAAAACUAAAUCCAACAUAAAGAAAAAAUAAUACCAAAUGUUUAUAUAUCUAUGAUUAAAAUUAUUCCAAAAAGUUGAUUACAUGGCCAAUUAAGUUAUGAAAUAAAUUGGUUGGGAGUGAUUUUGCACGAAGAACGUUUAGGUAUUUUUCUUUGUUUUAUGUUUUUUUAUUACGGUAUUUUUUAUUUUUAUUUAAUUUUUUUUUCUUUUUAAUUUUGUUUUGUCUUUUAUUUAUUUAUUUAUUUAUUUAUUUGCUUAUUGAUUUUUUUUUAUUUACAUACAUAUUUAAAAUUUUAAAUUACGCACAUGUUUUAAUCAUUUAAAAGUAUAAAAAACUAAGAAUAUGUGUUAGAAAAUUAAAUUUAUAAUUUUAUUUAUUUAUUAGUAACAUGUAAAUUUUUAAAAACAUGGAAAUAAAUGAAAAUUUUUUCAAUGAUGACAUUAAAAGAAAAUUGUAAAUGGUGCUCAAAAUUCUAAGUGAUGAAUUUCCUUACAAAUUUACCAAAAGUGUUGAAAAGAUUUUUGAAGUAUUCUAAUAAAAAAUAUUUUAUUUAUUUUUAAUAAAAUAUUUAGUAAAAAUAAAGGUUAGUAAAAUCAAAAACAAAAAUAAAUAUAAACUUUUUUUAAUAAAAUUUUAAAUUAAUCAAACGAUAGAUUCUCUUUGAGCAAAUAAAUGAGUUUCUUGAAUUUUUUUGAAUUAAAUGAGAGAAUUUUAUCUGAAUUCUUCCAAAACGUUUUAAAUAAUGAAAUUUAAUUAGAAGAAAAGACCAUUUAGAUCAAAACUUUUUAAAAUAACAUAAAAUUAAUUAUGUGUGUUUUUAUAAAUUUUGAGUUUUUAUCAUUUAUUAUAUAUAAUGGAAUAAAAUAAUAAUGAUAAAUAUAAAUAUAAAUAUACAAAUAUAUAAAAAAAUAAAAAUUAAGUUACAUUUUUCUUUCUUCUUUUUUAAUAUUUUUAUAAAAAAAUUUAUAAUUUACCAAAAAUUAAAAAAUCAUAAUUUUUGAUCAAACAAUUAAUAUAAAAUAUAAAACUUAUAACAAUAACAUGAAAAAAUAACAAAAAAAUGUAAUAGUAAUAUAUGAAAUAUUAAUAGAUUUUUAAUUUAAUAUUGUUAUAAUAUUUUUGUUUGUUCCAUUUUUUAUUAUUUUUAUAUUAAAUAAUUAGUCCAUUCUAAUGUAGCAGGGACUAAUUUUAGUAAUCACCAUAAAAGUAGCAAUAUAUAGUUGCAUUGGUAUCAUUGUAAUUUUAAUUUUUAGAUAUAAAAUUACAAAAUUGAUGAAUAUUUUGUAUUAAUAAGAUAUUCCAAUUUUAUAAUUUUUUUUAAAAUUCAACAAAAUUUAUAUUUUUUAAUUUUUUAUGUAAAAGUUAGAUAUAACAAUUCUUGUACAUUUGUCUAUUUAUUUUGUAUUUAACACAUGUAAAAUGUGAAAAUUAUUUUAUCAUAAUUUGUAUCGACAUACCAAAUAUAAAACAUAUAUAUAUUUUAGUUUUGUCAAAUUCAUAUAUAUCAUUUUUGUUAAAAUUUUAAUCUGUAUCAAUUUCAUAUCUUCUUCGUAUUGUUUUCCUAUUGUAUCAACAAGUGGCAUUUAAAAUUAACAUAUUUAUUAAAAGUAGAGAAAGAGUCGAUUUAAGAUCUUAAUUAAUCAUUAGCAUGGCUACAGAAUGCUUGACAAUAACAUUUAUAUUUGUUAUUUUUAUUAAAAAAUAUUUUGUGAAAUAUUUUAAUUUUAUUAAUUUUUAUUCAAAAAUUAAAGAAAUUAAAUUUAAAAAUGCAAAAUUCAAUAAAAUUGAAAUAUAAUGACAAUUUUUUAAUUGGGAAAAUAGUUAUUUGAAUCUUAUUUAAAAAGCAAACAAUCAUAAAUUUUAAUAUUGAUCAUAGUAUAAUAACAAAUUUCUCCUUAAUCAUAUAACUAUCCCAUUUGGGAAAGUAGAACUAUAAAUUUAUUUAUUGUAUUAAACAUUUUUAUUUUAUGUAGAACAGAAGCAAUGAAAGUAGGAAAGGUUGAAAAGCCUUCUUCAACGAGCCAGCACAUUACAAGAGACUUAUUACGAAAUGAAAUCAAACAGUGUGAAGAAGUAGAACAAUCAUGGGCUGCAAAUGUAUUCACUAGGGUUCUCCCUUCCAUAGUUAUUGAGUAGGAGACUUAAUGAAAUAGGAAGGUUGAGGUUAAUGCCUAAAACAUUAGCUCUGAUGGCUGUGCAAAGGCAAAGAGCAACUUCAACAUCAGCCAACCCGUGGAUCAGAGUGCAGCAUGGCUGGGUUGGUACGUUGCCAAGGUCAAGAUUCACCAAACAACCCAGCAGAUUAAGAUUGUUGCGCCUGAAGCAAUAAUCACAACAAUACAGAAGCAAUAGACAACAAUCAAUAAUCAAAUGCGCAGGAAAAAUAAAGCACACCAAGAUUUACGUGAAAAACCCUCUAGUGUAGAGGGAAAAACCACGGGCCACCAGAAAAAUCUUCACUAUCAAAUAAUAGUUAUACAAAGUUAUUCUCUAGCUAAAAUUAGAGCUAAUCAACAACUAGAGAAACAAUUGGAGAAAUCUCACCAAAUAAGUGACUCAACAAAUACACCCUGGAUUUGUUCCUAGAGAGCUUCAAACCCGAUCUUCACCGUUCAGAAUGUAUAACUCUGAAUCAUAAACCUCCUGACAAUGUUCCAACUCAAUCGGACCACGGAUCGACUUCCGUUUAACCAACUCUCCCUUCUCCUUUUUCUCUCUCUGCUUUUCCUGGCUUUUCUUCUUUCUCUGCUUGGUUGUCGACACACACCUUAAACAACCCCACAUUUUUUUUAUUAAGUAGCUAGGGCUCUGUGUAAAAUAAAAGAUCAAGACCCAUGGCCUUUACUUGGUCCAAAACCACUUACAUGGGACUGGACCCCAUUUUCCUAACAAUCUCCCCCUCCAGUCCCAUUAGAAGGAGAUUCAUCACCAUAGCAAUUUCAUUUGGAACUUACCUUGGCCAGGGAACUCAUUCCGGCCAAGUUACUGUAAAGCUCAAGCUUUUCCCUGGGAAGUAUCUUAGUCAACAUAUCUGCCAUAUUUUUAUCAGUAUGGACUUUCUUCAAUAGCAUCUGCUGUUCUUCAAUCACUGAACGUAACCAAUGAUAUCUAACAUCAAUGUGCUUUGUUCUAGCAUGGUACAUGAUAUUCUUACUCAAAUGUAAAGCACUCUGGCUAUCACAAAAUACCACAUACUCUUUCUGAUUCAACCCCAAUUCAAAAAGAAAACGUUUCAUUCAAAGCAUUUCUUUACAUGCUUCAGUUGCUGCAAUAUACUCAGCUUCUGUAGUUGACAAAGCAACACACUUCUGCAACUUAGACUGCCAAGAUACAGCUCCUCCUGCAAAAGUGAACAAAUACCCUGAAGUAGAUUUCCUACCAUCAAGAUCGCCUGCCAUGUCAGCAUCAGUAAACCCUUCUAGAAUUGGUUGUGAAACUCCAUAAGUCAAACACAUUUUUGAGGUACCCCUCAAAUAUCUAAAAAUCCAUUUUACUGCUUCCCAAUGAACCUUCCCUGGAUUAGAAAGAAAUCUGCUCACUACACCAACUGCAUGAGCAAUGUCAGGCCUUGUACAAACCAUAAGAUACAUUAAAGAACUGACUGCAGAAGAAUAAGGAAUACUAGACAUAGCUAGUUGCUCUUCCUUAGACACUGGACAAGAUUUCUUACUUAGAUGAAAAUGGUUGGCAAGUGAACUGCUAACUGAUUUAGCAUGUUGCAUGUUGAAUCUACCAAGCACUCGUUCAACAUACUUUUCCUGUGACAACCACAGCUUUCCAGCUCUCCUAUCUCGGAUAAUGUCCAUACCAAGAAUCUGUUUUGCUAGACCUAAAUCCUUCAUAUCAAAGGACUUAGACAAUUGUUCUUUCAACCUGCAAACCAUACUAGCAUCUUGUCCUACAAUCAACAUAUCAUCAACAUAUAAUAAUAGGAUAAUGAAGUUACCAUUAGGGAAUUGUUUAAUAUACACACAAGAAUCCGCUGCUGUUCUUUUAUAGCUAUGACUCACCAUAAAAGAAUCAAACUUUUUGUACCACUGUCGCGGAGCUUGUUUCAAGCCAUACAAGCUUUUCUUCAAUUUGCAAACUAAGUGCUCUUUCCCUUUCACUUCAAAACCCUCAGGCUGAUUCAUAUAAAUGUCCUCCUGCAAAUCACCAUGCAAAAAUGCAGUUUUAACAUCAAGUUGCUCAAGCUCAAGAUUCAAACUAGCUGCCAAUCCCAGUACCAUUCGAAUAGAACUCAUUUUUACAACUGGAGCAAAAAUCUCAUCAAAAUCGAUGCCUGGUUUCUGAGAAAAACCUUUUACUACCAAUCGAGCUUUGUACCUCACUAGUUUGUCACCAUCCUUUUUUAACUUGAACACCUAUUUAUUCUUUAAUGGCCUUUUUCCUGUUGGAAGUUUAACAAGAUCAUAAGUACCAUUCUUUCGCAAUGACUCCAUCUCUUCUUUCAUUGCUUUUAACCAGUGCUCUCUAUCCGGAGUAACAUGCACAUCUUGAAAGCUUUCUGGCUCCCCUUCACUGGUAACUAAAAUAAAAUCUGAACUUGGAUACCUGGUAGAUGGCCUGCGCUCUCUAGUAGAUCUCCUGAGCUGAGACUCUACAUCACUUGAUGCUGAAGGUAGCUCCCCCUGCUCAACACUCUCAGGUAGAGAGGAUUGCUCCCCCUGCUCAAAACUAAUAGCAUCUGGCUCAUCACCAACUGUAGCUGGCUCAUCCAUAUCCCCAAGUUCUGUUUCUGGCUCAUUUUCACCAUCUGUGGCUCUUUCCUGUGAAAUCCCUGUCGGUGUUGAAACAUCACACUCAACAGUAACUCGUGUAGUCUUCUCAUUUUUCUCAAGGUCUGCUAUGGUUUCUUUUUCAUGAAAGACCACAUCUCUGCUUCUGACUGUCUUUCUCUUUACUGGAUCCCAUACCUUGUAGCCAAAUUCCUCAUCACCAUAUCCUACAAACACACACUGUGUAGCUUUACUAUCAAGCUUUGACCUCUGCUCUUUUGGUACAUGCAUGAAUGCUUUACACCCAAAAACUUUCAAGUGAGAGUAUGAAGCAUCUUUCCCUGUCCACACUCUUUCUGGAAUGUCAAAGCCCAAAGGAACUGAUGGUGACCUGUUAAGUAAAUAACAAGCUGUGUUGACUGCUUCACCCCAGAAUGGCUUUGAUAAUUUUGCCAUCCUCAACAUACAUCUGACUUUUUCCACAAUGGUGCGAUUCAUUCUUUCAGCUAUACCAUUAUGCUGCGGUGUUCCAGGUUCUGUCCUCUCAUGCCUGAUCCCAUGCUUUGAGCAAUACUCUUCAAAGCCUUUAGAUGUGUAUUCCCCACCAUUAUCAGUUCGAAUACACUUCAAGGGUAACCCUGUCAUCCUUUCAACCAUGGCAUGAAAUUUUUGAAAAUACUGCAGUACCUGACUUUUAUAUUUCAACAUAUACACCCAAGUCUUACGUGAAGCAUCAUCAAUAAAAGUAACAAAAUAUCUGUUACCACCUAAUGACUCAACCUCAAUGGGACCACAUACGUCAGAAUAAAUUAAUUCCAAUCUAUUUUCUUUUCUCUGAGAACUUUUACGAAAAAAAACUCUAUGAUGCUUACCAAACAAACAAUAAUCACAUGAAUCGAGAAACAUACCUUUGGUCAAGGGAAUGAGAGAGUGCCUUGCCAAAACCUGUAACCCUUUUUCACUCAUGUGUGCCAGCCUCCAUGUGCCACAAGUUUGCUGAAGCAUCAUUUUCAACGGUAUUUACCUGGUUACCGUUCAAUUGCAUCCAUGUCUUAUACAUUGUGCAGCAUAGUUUUCCCCUUGCAACUACCAUAGAUCUUUGAAGAAGCUUCACUGUCCAUUCUUUUGUCGGCUUUCAUAUCCUCCUUAUCAAGGACAUUAAUAGCAAGCAAGUUUCAUUCUCAUAUCUAGAAUGUGUCUGACAUCCUUAAAGUCAACAUGCAGCAUGUACUAGUUUGUACACCAAUAUCACCAUCCAACAAUCUGACGACACACUCUUGUUUCCCAUCUUGGUACAAACCAAAGUCUCCUGCUUUGUAAGUUGUAAACAACUCCUCUUAGGAACACAAUGAUAUGCCGCUCCUGUGUCAACUAUCCACUCAAUGCCGGGAUCACUAACAUGAUUACAAUCACCAUGUGUACAAAUCAAAGUAACUGAAUCACUAUCUGAAUUUACUGCUGCAACAUUGCCAUCAUCUGAACUCUUGCCUUUCUCAUCUUUUCGCUCUUGCUUCAAGAUUCUACAGUUUCGUUUUAUAUGACCAGCCUUACCACAAUGGAAACACUUCACUUUACCUCUAGACUUAGAUCUAUGUUUAGACUUACAAGUUGCAAUCUUUUUAACAAGUAUAACUUUAUUCAUACCUGUUUUUCUCUCAUACAAUGCUGCCAAUUUUUCUCAAACAAUGUGAGCAUCUGACUCCUGCGCUACAUGAUGAAACACGCUGAUAUCAACCCAUUUUCUGAUUGUAGCCAGCGUCUUUCUACCUAGCUUCUUCCAGCUUUCAUCUUUCAUAUCUGCUGGUUUAGCCGAAUCACCCAAUACUGGCUCAUACAAAUCUUUGCAGUAUAGAUGAUCCUCCAUCAUAGGCUUCCAAAUUGAAUAAUUUGAUGCUGUCAAUUUUAGCAUGGAACCUGUAUCACCCUCCAUGAUCUCAAACAGAAUUUACUUCUAUCCUGGGUUGCUUCUGUAUCGAUGUCUCAAAAUAACUCUCGCUCUGAUACCACUUGUUGCGCCUGAAGCAAUAAUCACAACAAUACAGAAGCAAUAGACAACAAUCAAUAAUCAAAUGCGCAGGAAAAAUAAAGCACACCAAGAUUUACGUGGAAAACCCUCCAGUGUAGAGGGAAAAACCACGGGCCACCAGAAAAAUCUUCACUAUCAAAUAAUAGUUAUACAAAGUUCUUCUCUAGCUAAAACUAGAGCUAAUCAAUAACUAGAGAAACAAUUGGAGAAAUCUCACCAAAUAAAUGACUCAACAAAUACACCCUGGAUUUGUUCCUAGAGAGCUUCAAACCCGAUCUUCACCGUUCAGAAUGUAUAACUCUGAAUCAUAAACCUCCUGACAAGGUUCCAACUCAAUCGGACCACGGAUCGACUUCCGUUUAACCAACUCUCCCUUCUCCUUUUUCUCUCUCUGCUUUUCCUGGCUUUUCUUCUUUCUCUGCUUGGUUGUCGACACACACCUUAAACAACCCCACAUUUUUUUUAUUAAGUAGCUAGGGCUCUGUGUAAAAUAAAAGAUCAAGGCCCAUGGCCUUUACUUGGUCCAAAACCACUUACAUGGGACUGGACCCCAUUUUCCUAACAAUUAAGACAGACACCAAGGUUCAAGGGAUUACAGGUACCGUAUUGGCCCUGAGGAAACCUGUCUCCAGGACGGAUAACAACAGGGUUCCUGGAAUUUGUUGUUGUAUAAGAACCCUGGGAAUUUCCAUUAUUGGAGUUUCCUCCGACUCCAUUUGAGGAAUCAUUAUCGUAGGGGUCAUCGGAAGAACUUACUGUUGCAAAGAAGAGAAGGUUGAAGGAGAGAAAUAAAGCAGUUGAUGCUUUAAUCUUUGAAGCCAUUUCUCAAACCAAAAUCUUAAGAAAACUAGAAAGUGCAUAAUAUGAUUAUGAUGGUGAAGGUGGUGAAGUGAGCAAAGGGUUUUAUACAAGAGAGAUGUGAAUUUUAAAAAUCCUUAAAAUCAGAAAAUGAGAGGCACGCAAGGUGAAUUUACUCGAUUUAAUAAAUCCCAUAAGUAAAUCGGUGUUAUAAGUAUAUAUCUAUAUUAAAAAAAUUUAAAAUUUAAUUCAAUUAAUUCAGUUAAUUAUUAUUAAAAAAUAAAGUAUGAAGGCAUUUAUAAUUAUUUCUCCUGUCCUCAAGUUCCUAUAUAUAUAUAUAAAAAAAAAAAUGCGACCAAGCCGAAUUAAGGUUUCUAUUCUGUCAUACACGUGAAAUCAUAUCUUCAUGCCCGAUGUAAGGGUGAGCAAUGACUGCCGAGAGUGAAACUUGAUUUUAACCCCUUGUAUUGCACUUCUAUUGGAUUGAGAAUGAAGAUUAUGACCAUAACCGCAAGCACUCGAACAAUUAUAUUAGAAAUACUUUUUCUUGUGCCAGGGAAAGGUUUGAUGUACUCGAAUUUAAAUUUUAAUCAUUAUAUAAAUUAAUUGAAUUAAAUUUUUAAUUUAAAUUUUGUAAUUAGAAAUCUUUCUCUCUUGAAUAAAUUAUCAUACAAAUUUUAAGCUUAUUUUUUUAUUGAUGCUUUUAUUAUUUUUUAUUUUUUAAUAAAAAUAAAUAGCAAUUAAAAAAAAAAAAAACAAAUCACACAGAAAUUAAACCUUCCAGUGCUCUCUUUCAAAAACACACCCUUUGGUACGAUUCUAAAUAAAACAAGUAAUGGGUUCAUUUUCAUAUUUGCUUUGCAAUUUUAUUUCAUUAAAUAAAUAUCUAGAUUUAUCUCUAUAUCGAUGACAGCUUAGGAAACAAUUCAAAUAAAUUUGCAAGGGGGUUUGUUGAACAAAUUUUUUUGAUUUUAUCAACAAUGAUUAGACAAUUUGAUUUAUUAGAGAUUGGAAAAUUUUAACCAAGAUAUAUUUUGUUAUUGUGUGUAAUUUAUAUUACGAAACAUGUUCCAAAUUAAUAUUAAAGGAUACCAAUUUAUUUCGAUCAAUCAACUCAUUGUAUUCUAAAAAAAUGUAGUGUUUUUUCACAUUCCAUAAUUCCAUUCAGAUAAUUAAAGCUUAUGUUAAAAAUAAUUAUUGCUUCAAGCCUUACGUUUUUUAUCAUAACUAAUAAUUAUUUCUGAAUUUAAUUAAAAUUUAUUUUAAUUAAGCUUAAUAUGUAUGAAUAGAUUUUCAAUUAAAGGAAAUGUUAGGCGUAAAAAAAAUUGAAAAAAUAAAAAAUUAAUUUAAAAUCAUAAUAUUCAAUUUGUUUUGGAUCUUUUUUUUUUUUUUUUGCUUAGAUUGGUUUAAGUUUAAAUAUUAAAUAUAUAUUAGGUUUAAAUGAAAAGCAAAAAUUAAAAAAGAACCUAACAGAAUUAUAUAUUUUUAUUAUAUUUUAUAUUUUUUAAAUUUUUAUAAAAUAAAAAUAAUUAUUUUAUAUUUAAAUUUAUUUAAAAAUAUUAAAAAUUAUAUUAAAAUAAUAUAUAAAAAAUUUAAAAAAUUAAAUUUAAAAAAUCAAUGAACUCAACUGGUAGAAUUUAGUUUAGCUCAAAUUGAUUUUAAAAUAAGAUCGAUUUAAAUUCAAAUCAGAUUUUAGAUGAAAUAAUUUCUCAUAUAGUAAUACAAAAUUUCUUUCCAAUAUAAAAUUUCUCUUUAGGCAUCACCUAAUAGAAGUACCAAUGGUUCAGAUCAAAUUUGAUUCAAUUUUUUAAAAUAUUAUAUCGUAUUGUAAAUUUUAAAUUCCACAAGUAAGAUUAAUAUAAUAACACAUAUAUAUUUAAAAAAAUUAAUUAAAAAAAAUGUUAAUUUCUUGAUUCACUUGUAAAAUUAAAAAUUACACUGAUUGUGUAUGAUUUUUUUUAUUGAUGAAAAAAAUAUUAAAUGAAAAUCAUUUCUUAAAAAAGUAAUUAAUUAACCUUAACAAGUGUCUAUUUAUUACAAAAAAGAAAGGUAUAUUCUUAUUAUAAAAUAACAGGUAAUUAAAGAAAAUUACAAGGGAUGGAAGGGGAGGUUGAAGAGCCCUCCCUGACGAACCAGCAAUGAUACAAAGACUUAUUACAAAAUGAAAUCAGCUGGGAACCCCAACAAACAAUCAAUGUCAAUGUCAAUGUCAAAGACAAAAUAAUAAAAGAAAGAGAGUUCAAACAUUGAUGAAGAACAAUAUUUAUGGGCUGCAAAUGUAUUCAGAAGAGAGCCUCCUUCCACAGUUAUUGAGUAGAAGGCUCAAUGAAAUAGGAAGGUUUAGGUUAAUGCCUAAGACAUUAGUUCUGAUGGCAGUGCAGAGGCAAACAGCAGCUUCAACAUCAGCCAACCCUUGGAUCAGGCUGCAGCAUGGUUGGGUUGGUAUGUUACCAAGGUCAAGAUUCUCCAAACCACCCAGUAGAUUAGCACACACAUGAAGGUUCAGGGGAUUACAACUACCGGACUGGCCCUGAUUGUUAUUGCCAUUGCCAUUAGGGAACAAGGCACCAGGAGGAAGGUUAACAACAGGGUUCCUGUCCAUGGAAUUUGUAGAAGAAGAACCCUUUGAGUUUUUUAAUGGUUAAUCAACAUUAUCAGAGCUUACAAAAGCGAAGAGGAGAAUGUUGAAGGAGACAAAUAGAGCAGUUGAUGACUUAGCCUCGGAAGCCAUUUCUCAGAAGAAAAAUUAUUUGAAAUGCUUCAGAAAUUGGAGUAUUCUUUUGUUCAGAGAAAGCUAAAAAUUGCUUAUUGACGUUGAUGAUGAAGGUGGUGAGGUGGGCGAAGGGAUUUUACAGAAGAGAGAUGAGCUUUAAAACUAGAAAAUGAAAGCCACUAGGUCACAUUGAUUGGAGGAUUUCGAUCCUGGAAUAUUAUUGUCUGGUCGCCAAUUAUGGAAUCUCCCACGUCUACGAUGAUAAUUGAUAUCCAAAGCCAAUAUUUAAUUAACAUGAGCACAACGUUGUUAUAACUUAUAGACAUCGAGUAUCAACUUCGCAGAUAUGCAAUCUAACCUUUUUCUUUAAAAAAAAAAAAAAAAUCUAUUCUUAAUCUCUCAAGUCUUAUUUAUUUAAUUCAUAUUAAAAAGAAAGUAUACAUCUGAAUUUUUUUCGAACCCACAAUUUCAAAAAAUCUAAUUAACAUACAAAUAUAGCAUAUAUAUUUUAAAACAUUAGGUAAAUUUAUCUACGAUGUCAAAUAAUGCUUUUUACACCAAUUUUAUUAUUUUUCAGUUUACAAACUUGUUAUGAUAAAGAGCAAUCUAUUUUAUAACAUCAAAUAACAUGAAAAUAUCACAUAAUAUCUUAUAAUUAUCGGUAAAGACUAAAGAUUAGAUGAUAAAAAUAUUUUUAAUCAAAUUUUAGUGAUUAAAUUAAAAUUUUUAAUAACUUAAUAAUUAUUUUAAAAAUACAAUAAUAUUUGAGUAAUUAAUAAUGUAAUUUACCCAUUAAUUUUACAGUUGAAAUUUACGUGCCGUACAUGUAGAUUUUUUUCAUAUUCUAAUAACAUAUUAACUAAAUCUGGACAAGCAUAUAUUAAUAUCAUAUUUAAGCUCGAUUCGGAUUCGAACCUCCAAUACUAACAUAUUGAUGGAUUUAAAAUGAAUUAAAAAGAUUAUAGAUGAAGAAAAAUGGAUUUUUUAAGUCAUGAAUAAAGAUGGAAUAGUAUGUAUGUUACCUACUAUCCCCAUGAAAACGUGAUGUGCUUGAUUUCAGCACAUAUAUCAUGAGCUUUUAUAUAUGGUAUUAUAUGUGCUUUUUUAAUUUUUUCCAAUGAACCAUUCAUUAAACAAAAUGUUAAUUGAGAUAUUUAAUAAAAUAAGAAAAUCUUAACAACUCAAUGUGAAAAGGGAUACGAAUUUAUGAAAUCUGCAAAAAUGGGUAUUUGAAAUUUGACAAAACAAAACAAAAAGGUUCUGGAAAACCUAAUAGCCCUAAACAUUGUCACCAACUCAGUCUCGAGAAAAUAUGAUUUGUUGUUACAGCUUAAACUCUAUGAUUCCAAGACCCAAAGCAAAAUUCCAACUACCGAGUCCGAUUCAAGAUCCACCACGAGUUGGAAGCAGAAACUCUUACCAUCUAUUAUUUGGUGGUUUAACUUUAUAAAUACGAACUAUCCAGUUAGAUGUUGUGAAUGCCUCUUCCAAGUGCUCCAGUUUAAUGUCUUUAUUUCCAAUUUCAACACCUCGUGCACGAUCAUAACUGCCAAACCAGAAAGCAAUUAUAGAAAUUUAGCAAUAUAGAUAUAAACUAUCUUUUUCAUAUAUAAAAUAUAUAGAUGUACACACACAUCUGAAUAUGUAGCUAAGCACAUAUUAUUGUACCAACAUCUUGAAAAAACAAAGAAGACAAGAAUGCCAACUUACCCAGGUGGCUUGCCAUAUUCUGUCAUCAGCUCUCCAAACCGAUAGUAAGAUAGCUUGUACCUAAGCACAUAAAUAUAAAUAUAUAUUAAGCAAAGAUUUUUCCAGCACCAAAACUCUCUAGGAAGUCUCAAAGAAUGAAUACAUAUAUAUAUAUAUAUAUAAUACGAGAGAGAGAGAGAGAGAGAGAGAGAGAGAGAGAGAGAGAGAGAGAGAGAGAGAGAGAGAGAGAGAGAGAGAGUAACUUCGAACUUACAUGAGGCAAUUCAACAUUUUAGUAGCUGCCCCUUUGUCAACUCGAUAUUCACCAUUAACAAGGUAAUCAGGUUCCUUGAUUACAGGGAACACUCCACCUCCAAUUCUCACCAUCCACAAAAAUCUAUUUCAGAAUAAAAUGUAAUUAGAAUACAAUAAUGGCACUUGAAAAAUUCAGGAAAGAAGAAAAGGGGAAGGUGGGAGACCAAAAACAAAAGAUUAUGGUGACUGUGUUGCGUUGGUAUAGACUAUAGACUAUUGUCCAAAUAUUGGCAGAAAACCACUCAGUAAAAUUGUCUUGACAAAUGGCCAUCGAAAAGAGAUUUCAAAAUGCUAAAUGGUAGGAAACCACUUCUAUACACUCAAAGCAGAUAUGAUUCUUAUUCCUUUUCAUCUUCUUUCUCUGCCCAUGUUGGGGAGGAGGGGCUGGGGAUUACAUGUAGAAGUCAGGAAGGGAAAGUAGUGAAGUGUCAAGAAUGAUUAAUUACAUCCACCAAUCAAAGGAGAAAAGCAUUAGUUUUCAUAAUUUAAAGUAAAGAACUGAUAAUUUUAACCACUCAGAGGUAGAUUUUCAUACAAUCUCUCAUGCUUUGCACCACAUACAUACACACGGUGACUGAGACAUAGAGACAGAGAGAGUGAGAAAGAUCCAACCUUGCUUUUCAGACUCUAAAGUACAUAACAGUGUUAACCACUCAAUCAGACUGCACCACCAAUCCAACUAUCCAAGUAUGAACAGCAUGAGUUUCAUGAUUUAAAGCAAAGAAUCAAAACCAAUUAAACAUUCAGGGCAUCUUUCACACAAUGCCUGAUUUGUUGCAUAGAGACACACAACAAUAAUUAAUAAAAUAGGAGAGUGAUUUCCAGUCUUACUUGUUAAUAUCAUCAGAAGAAUAACCAGUAACACCUCCAAAGACAACUAAUACGUAAUCCACAUCAAGUGAUCUCAUUAUCUCAUAUGCCUCGUCUUCAUAAGAUGACAUUGCACGCCCAACCGUAGCAAUAUGCGUAUUAUUCCAAGUGUUGUUGUCAACAAUAACAGUUCUGUUUCCCAUGGCAGUGAUUUGAUACCCAUAGUCCCACCAAGACAUCACCUUAGCAUCUGGAGGAGUAUUUUGCCGAAGCCAGAAGUAUGCCUCACGAUAAUCAUCAAAGAUAACUCUAUUUCCAUGGGCACCUCUUGCAGCCAGAACAAUUGAAGGAGAUGAGUAAGCCUCUGAAGUAACCCAUGUACAGUGGGUGGCAUACUUACUGAGCAAGUAAAAUGCACCAAAGAGCAAUGCCACUGCACCAUUUUUCUGGAAAGGCUGGGACUGAUCAAGUGAAGCCUAUUUGUAAAAUAAACAAGAUAGGUUAUUUCUUGGAUAUACACCCCAAACAAACCAAAAAGAAGCCCAAUAUUAUGGCCAGAAACAAAAACUAUUAAAAUACCCGCAAUGUCUACUCCUAGAUCAUUUGAUUUAAGAAUUUCAUUAUAUACAUAAUAAGGGCCCGUGGCACACGACACUUCUAUGUUUACAUUUUAGCAUGCUUUCUCUUCCAACAAAUCCAUGCUAUCAAAAUGGAUCUAUGGAGGUUAUGGAUGAAAUUAAGCAUGAUAACAAAUUAAACACAAGUAACAACACGAAAUCCUGUGGUCACAGGAAAUAUAAGAACAACAUAAGUUUUAUCCUAUAUGAAACCUUUAGAUCAACAGAGUUGACACUUGAAUUUUCAAUUUGCUUCUAACUUAGAAGGGAAACAUACAUAAGGACAAAGAAAAUAUUAUAAUAAACAGAAUAACUAACUUGUGAUGGAAGAAAAGAAACACACCUAUGUCUAGAAAACAUAUUAUCAUCAAACAAUGAAUCUAAAUAAUUCAAUUAACUCAGAAACUUAUUAGAGAGAAUAUUAUUUUAAAUGUGGUUUAUUAAAAGCUUGAGUUCUCUACAACAUUGAUCCAUGAAACCAUAUAAACAAAGACCAUUAAAGCAUGCAUCAGAUGCGAGCUCAGUCAUUGCCAAAUAAUUAUACACAAAAACUACAAAACCUUUUAAUUAAUUACUAACAGUGACACAUUCAAUCCCCAAAAAAUGUAUGUUAACUAAAACAGAAGGAAAUACUUGCUUGUCAGAAUUUAUAUUCCUUUCCCCAUAAUACAGCAAGAUCCAGAGAAGGGUAGGUAAACUACUGGCAGGAUUUUCCUCUUGAAGGUAUUUAGGAAUUUCGAGCAACUACAUAUUUCCCCCAAAACUCAGGAUUUAGAACUAAUAAGUGCUACUUUGGCUGGAUUAACUGUAACUUCAAAUUUACAACUCAAAUCCGUAAUCAGGUGGACUAUCUAGUUCUAUAACAUAUCUUAUUUUAGCUUAACCCCUGUUUAUAAUUUAAACCAAGAAGGUCAAAUUCCAAUUACUGCUAAUUCUUUCAGUUUGCAGUAAUAGAUGGAAAGAGAUCCCACAAACAGCUUAAUGGAAUUAGUAGGCCUUAUAUCACUACCUAGAAGCUUCUUCAUCAAGUUAUUUCAUUUCACACUUGACCUGAAUGAAAGAACUCCCAAAGAAAAGCUCGUUAUAUGUCCAAGAUAACCAAAUAAUGGUACUGAAUAUGCCAUAGCCAAACAGAAUAACUAGAUAAUUCAACCGAUAAUCUCUAGAAUCAUAAUUUGUUAUCAUCAAUGCAUUACAAUGCUAUCUAGCGAUAAGGAGUAUUAACAAUAGAACCAAACAAAAACUGGAAGAUUUAGCUCCUUAAUAGUUAGCAAAAUAAGUGCAUCCAAACAAAUUCUUAUUACUACAAGUUUCAAUGUUCAGAUUUUUUUUCUUUGGCAAAGGACCACAAGCAUUGUUAUUUCAGUUGCAUCAGCUCAAUUCUCAAGAAACAGCAAGUACAUUCACAUCAAACAAAUUUUUUACCAACAGUAAAACUAAAGCAAUAUUCAUUCUGCGGGCAAAACAUGAGUCAGACAAUCAAAAUAUCAGAGGAAAGGGAAAGAAAAGAGAGAAAAUGGCAGGGAGGGGUUACCUUAGAAGAGGCCUUUGCACUGCUAGUUCCUUUAGUGGAACCAGUCUGGACAACCUUGUUCUUUGACCUCACUAGCACAGUCAAAUUCUUCACAGUGGCAGAAACAGCAAUGGAACUAAUAAGGCAAACUGCAGGUGCAGCAACAAGAAUCAAUCGAACCAUGACACAGCAAAAUACAUGCUUGUGAGACCAUACAUGACGAUAAAUAUGGUGGCAUCUGACAACCGCUUGAAGCAAAAUAAAGACCAGCUGGGAAAAGGAAAAGUAGGAUGUGGAAUCAAACAUGAAAGAUGACCAAGCUGUUGGCUGAUGCUCAGAGACAGAUGCAAUAAUGGGGAUAUGAUCCUUGGCAUAGGUUGGAUCCAGCAAGAUAAAAUCUUCCUGUCCAAGGUGAAAUAUAGCCAGAUAAUGUGCCUACUCCCAAAGCAAUAGCUCCCACAGUAACUGCACAGGUCACAGUGAUCCUCAAAAAAGCUUGAAACAAUUUUGUGUCACUAAGCAUGUGCUUCACCC